This 536-nucleotide ribosomal RNA is filed under the name Cynoglossus robustus. RNAcentral's name for it is "partial large subunit ribosomal RNA". It matches the Rfam family "Bacterial large subunit ribosomal RNA", at positions 1859 to 2596 of the family's 2925-position model. Lineage: Eukaryota; Metazoa; Chordata; Actinopteri; Pleuronectiformes; Cynoglossidae. The record is from RNAcentral.
CUGCCCAAUGAUAAUUGAUUUAAUGGCCGCGGUAUUUUGACCGUGCUAAGGUAGCGUAAUCACUUGCCCCUUAAAUGGGAGCCAGUAUGAACGGUUUGACGAGGGCUUAACUGUCUCCUCUCCACCAUCAAUGAAAUUGAUCUCCCCGUGCAAAAGCGGGGAUUAACCUAUAAGACGAGAAGACCCUGUGGAGCUUAAGACAAAACUCUAGACCCCGCCAAAAAAUCUUAAUAAAGGACCAAGCAGAAAGUAGCUAGAGAUUAUCUUCAGUUGGGGCGACUGCGGGGAAAACAAAACCCCCGCGAAGACUAGGAAGACUAACUUCUUUAACCCUAGAACUACCCUUCAAAACAGUAGAACUUCUAACUUUUAUUGAUCCGACCCGUUGAUCAACGAAUAAAGUUACCCCAGGGAUAACAGCGCAAUCCCCUUACAGAGCUCCUAUCGAAAAGGGGGUUUACGACCUCGAUGUUGGACCAGGGCAUCCUAAUGGUGUAACCGCUGUUAAGGGUUCGUUUGUUCAACGAUUAAAGCCC